Brienomyrus brachyistius is the source of this 174-nucleotide long non-coding RNA. RefSeq lists it as uncharacterized. The record is from RefSeq and is a predicted model, not a curated record. Lineage: Eukaryota; Metazoa; Chordata; Actinopteri; Osteoglossiformes; Mormyridae. The transcript has 3 exons.
AACGGCACAUAGCUGGAUAUAGAUGGCUUUCAGAAACUGCUGGAUCCUCUUCACUCUGGCUUGCUGAUAGUUUUAUCUUGCAGCAUUAUUCUGAACGUUGCUCUCAUUUGUAUAAGAUGUAAACUGACCUGUACACACUGUGCAGAUGAAAAGAACAGUGAUAUAUCAAAAGUG